AAAAAGCUGAAUACGGUCACUCAUAUAUGUUUGAUAAUAUGGAUCGAACGUUUCUACCUUGUUACCGUAAAUAACAAGACUAUGAGUAAAAAGUAAAUCUAG
RNAcentral lists this non-coding RNA (102 nucleotides) under Bacillus sp. (in: firmicutes). RNAcentral describes it as "Bacillus sp. Guanine sequence". It matches the Rfam family "Purine riboswitch aptamer". Rfam says of the family: Riboswitches are metabolite binding domains within certain messenger RNAs that serve as precision sensors for their corresponding targets. Lineage: Bacteria; Bacillati; Bacillota; Bacilli; Caryophanales; Bacillaceae. The record is from RNAcentral. RNAcentral also lists the same sequence under 1 other name.